GGGGCAAGUCAAAUUCUAUCACAACAGACUCGAUGGCUCUUCCUGGGUCAUUCCGGAUUCCGGCAAAGACAUUCAUGCGACAAUUGCCACCACUGCUAGAAAAUUGUGGCUUGACAUAUAUAGGUAUGUCUUUCAACUUUUUUAUCCUUUUAUUUAAUCAUAGAAGAAUGAGGAUAACAGUAUGGAGUGUAUACAAUUGAACCAAAUAAUAUAAAUAAAUUAAAUUAAAUAAUACAUACAAUACCUGUAACUCAUUAGCUUAAACUGCCCGUCUGGAGGCACAAAUGAUAAUGCUUGGGAUGACUCCCAUUGUCGAAGACGAAUACAUGGAUGAAAUCUUACAUCAUUCAGAAUUGAAGGGUUCGUAAAUGUCAUGUUCAUGUCAGGGAAACCAGGGAGACUGGACUUUACUUGAAUUUCACCAUAUACUUCACAUUUCACUAAAUUCCCAUCACUAUAUAAACAUGAAACACAGAUAGUCAGAUACUUCACACUUAUUGAGUUAUUGAUAUAAUCACUCCUUUGACCUAAAAAAAUAUAAUCCAAACCAAAUUAACCUGCUUAUGGUAACGUCAAUCUCCUCCACAAGAUUGAUGUAAACCUCAUUGCUUUUGUACUUAAUGUCAGUAGUUCUCCAAGGAACACAUGACGCUGUUGCAUUUGGAAGAGUGUUACUCACAUUAGAACUUUUCCCAGUUACAACACUUAACAUUUUGCUAACGAUACUUGGUGGUGUUAUCAGCUCUCUUAAGAUAUUAGGUUCUGUUGUAAGAGGAAAACCACUAUCGAUCAUCUCAUCUAAAAGCUGCAGAUUGCAAAAGAUCCAUCAUUCAUUGUGUUAUAUAUAUUCUGCAUCAUCAGCUUUGUGGUCUUGUAUUAAAACCUUUUAAAACAUUCCGUAAUAAGUAUCAGGGAAUAAUAAAAUUUGUAAUGUCCAUUUGACAAAUGACCGCCAAUAUGGUUUGUUCCAAAACUACGAUUUGUUCCCUCAUAUGCUUAUUUAGUUAUAUCAUAUAUAUGUGUGCGCAUGUCUCAAAAAUGAGCCAAAAAAGAUAAGUAAAAAAAGAAAAAAUCAUUGAGGAUAGAGUGGUAGACUUUAAAACAUUAAAACUAAUAAAGAAAAAAAUCGUCAGUUUUUAAAGGAUUUUAAAAUUAAUCAGAUAAUGAAAAACAUAACAAAUCACAAAAUUGAAACAAACCGUGGUAAAUAUAUGACAUAUAUUUGUAGUUUCCUUUAUUUAAAUUGAAUAUAAGUAAUAUAACAUACAGGGCACUUGCCUUCAUUUAAUCAUUUUAUAAUGAGAAAUUUGAAUUGCAUCAAAAAAGUAUACAAUAUGUAGCAUGAUUUGUUAAUUUUUUUAAAAUUCAGGUUUUGGAUGCACAGAUAAAUGUGAAAAGUACCUGAUAGACAAUGACAAAGUUAUCUUUCAUCAAGUCUUCGUUCAGACCUCCCAGAUAAUCUGAAAGAAUAUCUGCC
RNAcentral lists this long non-coding RNA (1477 nucleotides) under Zostera marina. RNAcentral's name for it is "long non-coding RNA (ZMAR_LNC005988)". Lineage: Eukaryota; Viridiplantae; Streptophyta; Magnoliopsida; Alismatales; Zosteraceae. The record is from RNAcentral.